UACGUAGGGGGCAAGCGUUGUCCGGAUUUAUUGGGCGUAAAGAGCGUGUAGGCGGCCUGAAAGGUCAGCUGUGAAACUCGAGGCUCAACCUCGAGCUGUCGGCGGAAACCAUCUGGCUAGAGUCCGGAAGAGGAGAAUGGAAUUCCCGGUGUAGCGGUGAAAUGCGCAGAUAUCGGGAAGAACACCCGUGGCGAAGGCGGUUCUCUGGGACGGUACUGACGCUGAGACGCGAAAGCGUGGGGAGCGAACAGG
This 252-nucleotide ribosomal RNA is filed under the name uncultured bacterium. RNAcentral's name for it is "partial 16S ribosomal RNA". It matches the Rfam family "Bacterial small subunit ribosomal RNA", at positions 524 to 776 of the family's 1533-position model. The record is from RNAcentral.